AUGAGAUCACAUGGAUCGGGCUGGAGCUUGACAAGAGCGAUACAGGAAACCAUACAAUCGAAGGCUAGCAAGAAGAAGCAAAAAGAUAAUAAAAGCUCAAGGGAUUCAUCACGAAGGCAAGUGCUCCAGCGGAAGCUAUCAAUUAAAAGGUCAGACUGGGCGGCUCCGUCUCCGCCUCAGCCUUCUCCGCUCCCUGUUGGGUAUCUCCGAGGACUUGAGCUAAGGGAUUGUUUACUGAAUGUCCCAUACUUGACCUAUCGCUCCAUUCGGUGA
Non-coding RNA from Vicia faba (fava bean), 273 nucleotides. The record is from the annotation of a GenBank genome assembly. Lineage: Eukaryota; Viridiplantae; Streptophyta; Magnoliopsida; Fabales; Fabaceae.